RNAcentral lists this long non-coding RNA (270 nucleotides) under Lathyrus oleraceus (garden pea). RNAcentral describes it as "Pisum sativum (pea) long non-coding RNA (PSAT_LNC021482)". The record is from RNAcentral. Lineage: Eukaryota; Viridiplantae; Streptophyta; Magnoliopsida; Fabales; Fabaceae.
CAUAUGAGGAAUGUGUAACACCUCAAAAUUUGCCCUCCUCAUUCAUGCAUUCAUUUAGCAUUUCAUAUUGCAUUUCAUCAUGUCAAUCAGAAUUAGAUCCAAGAAACUUUAUUUAAAUAAAUAAAUAAAAAAAUAAAUAAAUAAAUAAAUAAAAAAAAUAAUAAAAAAAUAAAUAAAAAAUAAUAGAAAAAACUUGGACUUGGACCUCUCUCAUUUGAGCCCACAAAGCCAUGAAAAUCAGGUUAUAAAAGAGGGAGAUCAGACAGAAAA